AAAAGUCGUAACAAGGUUUCCGUAGGUGAACCUGCGGAAGGAUCAUUACCGAGUGAGGGCCCUCUGGGUCCAACCUCCCACCCGUGUUUAUUUUACCUUGUUGCUUCGGCGGGCCCGCCUUAACUGGCCGCCGGGGGGCUUACGCCCCCGGGCCCGCGCCCGCCGAAGACACCCUCGAACUCUGUCUGAAGAUUGUAGUCUGAGUGAAAAUAUAAAUUAUUUAAAACUUUCAACAACGGAUCUCUUGGUUCCGGCAUCGAUGAAGAACGCAGCGAAAUGCGAUACGUAAUGUGAAUUGCAAAUUCAGUGAAUCAUCGAGUCUUUGAACGCACAUUGCGCCCCCUGGUAUUCCGGGGGGCAUGCCUGUCCGAGCGUCAUUUCUGCCCUCAAGCACGGCUUGUGUGUUGGGCCCCGUCCUCCGAUCCCGGGGGACGGGCCCGAAAGGCAGCGGCGGCACCGCGUCCGGUCCUCGAGCGUAUGGGGCUUUGUCACCCGCUCUGUAGGCCCGGCCGGCGCUUGCCGAUCAACCCAAAUUUUUAUCCAGGUUGACCUCGGAUCAGGUAGGGAUACCCGCUGAACUUAAGCAUAUCAAUAAGCGGAGGAAAAGAAACCAACAGGGAUUGCCCCAGUAACGGCGAGUGAAGCGGCAAGAGCUCAAAUUUGAAAGCUGGCUCCUUCGGGGUCCGCAUUGUAAUUUGUAGAGGAUGCUUCGGGAGCGGUCCCCAUCUAAGUGCCCUGGAACGGGACGUCAUAGAGGGUGAGAAUCCCGUAUGGGAUGGGGUGUCCGCGCCCGUGUGAAGCUCCUUCGACGAGUCGAGUUGUUUGGGAAUGCAGCUCUAAAUGGGUGGUAAAUUUCAUCUAAAGCUAAAUAUUGGCCGGAGACCGAUAGCGCACAAGUAGAGUGAUCGAAAGAUGAAAAGCACUUUGAAAAGAGAGUUAAAAAGCACGUGAAAUUGUUGAAAGGGAAGCGCUUGCGACCAGACUCGCUCGCGGGGUUCAGCCGGCAUUCGUGCCGGUGUACUUCCCCGCGGGCGGGCCAGCGUCGGUUUGGGCGGUCGGUCAAAGGCCCUCGGAAGGUAACGCCCCUAGGGGCGUCUUAUAGCCGAGGGUGCAAUGCGACCUGCCUAGACCGAGGAACGGGCUUCGGCUCGGAAGCUGGGAUAAUGGUCGUAAACGACCCGUCUUGAAACACGGACCAAGGA
This 1202-nucleotide small RNA is filed under the name Penicillium rubens. RNAcentral's name for it is "eukaryotic LSU rRNA". The stretch from base 547 to 1202 matches the Rfam family "Eukaryotic large subunit ribosomal RNA", at positions 1 to 672 of the family's 3401-position model. Lineage: Eukaryota; Fungi; Ascomycota; Eurotiomycetes; Eurotiales; Aspergillaceae. The record is from RNAcentral.